RNAcentral lists this ribosomal RNA (515 nucleotides) under uncultured archaeon. Its description in RNAcentral is "bacterial SSU rRNA". It matches the Rfam family "Archaeal small subunit ribosomal RNA", at positions 345 to 859 of the family's 1478-position model. The record is from RNAcentral.
AACCUUUACACUGCACGACAGUGCGAUAGGGGGACUCCGAGUGCGAGGGCAUAUAGCCCUCGCUUUUCUGUACCGUAAGGUGGUACAGGAACAAGGACUGGGCAAGACCGGUGCCAGCCGCCGCGGUAAUACCGGCAGUCCGAGUGAUGGCCGAUAUUAUUGGGCCUAAAGCGUCCGUAGCUUGCUGUGUAAGUCCAUUGGGAAAUCGACCAGCUCAACUGGUCGGCGUCCGGUGGAAACUACACAGCUUGGGGCCGAGAGACUCAACGGGUACGUCCGGGGUAGGAGUGAAAUCCUGUAAUCCUGGACGGACCACCAAUGGGGAAACCACGUUGAGAGACCGGACCCGACAGUGAGGGACGAAAGCCAGGGUCUCGAACCGGAUUAGAUACCCGGGUAGUCCUGGCUGUAAACAAUGCUCGCUAGGUAUGUCACGCGCCAUGAGCACGUGAUGUGCCGUAGUGAAGACGAUAAGCGAGCCGCCUGGGAAGUACGUCUGCAAGGAUGAAACUUAA